UUAACUCAAAUUUAUAUGGAGUUGGAACGUUUGCCGCUAGAGGCGCUGUUACAAUUGCAUACAAAUUUGAGUUA
RNAcentral lists this microRNA precursor (74 nucleotides) under Bombyx mori (domestic silkworm). RNAcentral's name for it is "mir-2807 microRNA precursor family". It matches the Rfam family "mir-2807 microRNA precursor family". Lineage: Eukaryota; Metazoa; Arthropoda; Insecta; Lepidoptera; Bombycidae. The record is from Rfam by way of RNAcentral.